Molecule: long non-coding RNA, 1419 nt
Organism: Oncorhynchus tshawytscha (Chinook salmon)
Lineage: Eukaryota; Metazoa; Chordata; Actinopteri; Salmoniformes; Salmonidae
Exons: 3
Source: RefSeq, a predicted model, not a curated record
AAGGAAGACGUUUGAGAUGCGCGCGCAUGCACACAAGCGAUGUCAAUUACACUUUGAAGGAUAACUGUGUGUGUUUGUUUUUUGCUUGCCACUUAAAUUAUCAAUCAGAUGGUGUAAACAUGAUGACCCAGUGCUUAUGCCAGAUCUGCGCCUGCAGAUAAGACUUUUUUCAAGUAGCCUUUUGCCGAAAAAGUGAAGGCUUCAUGUCGGCAUUAAUGUCCAUAUCCCCACCUGCUGUCAUCCCCACCUCCUGCUCUGACUCAGCGUGUGUGCACACAGAUUACAGUGACAAGUUCCACUUUACAGGAACUGUGGCUCCUCAGGCGUCCAAAAAAGUUAACAAUGAGUUCAAGCCGUUGGAUGGUGACAUGUCCAAUACCACCACCUUCAGAGUGGGAGAAAGAGUUCCUGCGAGGUAUUUACGACCGUCAAAAACUGUCCAACUCCCGCAAGAGAGGGGGGCUCUUGAAACCUUUGGUUAGCUGGCACCUUUGAUCUCCAUCCAGGAGGGCAAGUCCUGACAACUCUAAAGCCGUAUUACCAACACUAGUUCCUGAUAAAAACAAUACUUAUUUCAAAGUGGAAGAAUAAAAGAUGUGUUCUGAAAAUGUGGAAUAAGUUAAAUUGCCUUGGGGGGUAUGAUCUAAGAAUUCAAUUCGGGAAAGUCGUAUUCCUGGUUGUAAUGCUGGCGAGUUACCGCCGCUCUGAUAUCCAAAAGUUAUUUCCAGCUGUAUGUAAUAACAAAAAAACCUUCUGGGCUAAUGUAAGAAAUAACACAGACAAAAAACUAAAUCCAGCAAAGUUGCUUCGGAGCUAGAGGCAGAGCUGCCAUGUCUGUCGGCGCUAUCUUUACUUGUUUGGACCACAGACUUUGUCUUGUGCUCAACAUACUACAGCAAGAACAACUUAUUACCCUGCUGACCACCAUCAUAGACACAAUAUCAACUCACCACUGUAGCAGACAAAAGGGAAACUGUCAUUGCAGUUCAGUGUAAUACUGAUAAGACUGUUUAUUGUAUUGAAGUGUGACAGUGCUGAUUCAAGUCAAUAAUGUAGAAAAUACAUAUUCACCACUUGAAGAUGAAGGUGCAGUUGUUCCAUCUUGAGUGGUUGUAGGUUCAGUUGUUGGGAACAUGGCUGUUGUUAUACGGUGCACUUGGGAAAGUAUUCAGACCCCUUGACAUUUUCCACAUUUUGUUACAUUACAGACUCAUUCUAAAAUUGUUUAAAUAGUUUUAUUCCGUCGUCAAUAUACAUACAAUAGCCCAUAACAACAAAGCAAAACAGAUGUAGAAAUUUGUGCAAAACCCCCCCCCAAAAAAACACUGAUAUAUUACAUUUACAUAAGAAUUCCGACCCUUUACUCAGUACUUUGUUGACGCAUCUUUGGCAGCAUUUACAGCCCCGAGUCUUCUUGGG